AUAUUGAUUUGCUUAUUGCACCACAUGUGUUUUUCUUUGAAACAAACUUGCUUUGGCGGUGGGCCCAGCCUGCCGCCAGAGGUCUAAACUUACAACCAAUUUUUUAUCAACUUGUCACACCAGAUUAUUACUUAAUAGUCAAAACUUUCAACAACGGAUCUCUUGGUUCUCGCAUCGAUGAAGAACGCAGCGAAAUGCGAUACGUAAUAUGAAUUGCAGAUAUUCGUGAAUCAUCGAAUCUUUGAACGCACAUUGCGCCCUCUGGUAUUCCGGAGGGCAUGCCUGUUUGAGCGUCGUUUCUCCCUCAAACCGCUGGGUUUGGUGUUGAGCAAUACGACUUGGGUUUGCUUGAAAGACGGUAGUGGUAAGGCGGGAUCGCUUUGACAAUGGCUUAGGUCUAACCAAAAACAUUGCUUGCGGCGGUAACGUCUACCACGUAUAUCUUCAAACUUUGACCUCAAAUCAGGUAGGACUACCCGCUGAACUUAAGCAUAUCAAUAAGCGGAGGAA
RNAcentral lists this ribosomal RNA (510 nucleotides) under Candida albicans. RNAcentral's name for it is "eukaryotic LSU rRNA". The stretch from base 143 to 296 matches the Rfam family "5.8S ribosomal RNA". The record is from RNAcentral. Lineage: Eukaryota; Fungi; Ascomycota; Pichiomycetes; Serinales; Debaryomycetaceae.